This 426-nucleotide ribosomal RNA is filed under the name uncultured bacterium. RNAcentral's name for it is "bacterial SSU rRNA". It matches the Rfam family "Bacterial small subunit ribosomal RNA", at positions 28 to 451 of the family's 1533-position model. The record is from RNAcentral.
GAUGAACGCUGGCGGCGUGCUUAACACAUGCAUGUCGAACGGGAUCGGCUGGAGCUUGCUCCGGCCGUGAGAGUGGCGAACGGGUGAGUAAUGCGUGACCGACCUGCCCCAUACACCGGAAUAGCUCCUGGAAACGGGUGGUAAUGCCGGAUGCUCCGACAUGACGCAUGUCGUGUUGGGAAAGAUUCAUCGGUAUGGGAUGGGGUCGCGUCCUAUCAGGUAGUCGGCGGGGUAACGGCCCACCGAGCCUACGACGGGUAGCCGGCCUGAGAGGGCGACCGGCCACAUUGGGACUGAGAUACGGCCCAGACUCCUACGGGAGGCAGCAGUGGGGAAUAUUGCACAAUGGGCGCAAGCCUGAUGCAGCGACGCCGCGUGCGGGAUGACGGCCUUCGGGUUGUAAACCGCUUUUGACUGGGAGCAAGC